UGCAUAGGUGUUUGGCUACUAUAGUUUGGUAUCGCGAUCACAGCAUCGGAAGUGCCAUCCCCCUUCAUGCUGCGGAUUCCCGACGUGGAUAGUAAGCAAUCACGGUAGUACCGGUGCAUCACGUCGCAACGAGAUAUCCCGUGACCCAAGUAGGAUGGCGCUAUAUGCUCGGUUCUAUGUGAGAACGGCAAGCGGAAAAACAGCGCCGGAUUUUGAUAGCUAUUUUCUAGCGCUAUAAAGCGAAGCGCUGUAUGUGUAAACUAUGUCUAUGUGUAAAAGUCUAUGUAGACAUAUUCAAUCAGUGUAGAUACCGCACGUGCCGCGAGGUAGCAUUGCGGAUAUAAUUAACGACCACACUGUUAAAAAAGACCGUAAAUUUACGGAACGCCGCCCACGGAACCAGAGCUUCUCUUUUUCAUUGCUGCUCCAAUUCCGUAGCGGCACAUGAACCGUUGCUAUCCCGUCGUCUUUUCCAGGAAUGAGUAGAGCAAUAUCGCUGAAAAUGAAAUAUUUUGUUCAGACCACGUCACGAUUAUACUAGCAGAAAUAUGGAAGACGAUACAUGUCUUCAGCGAAGCACAUAUUUACCGUUUUUAAACGAUCCAACAGUGAUAUCGCAAUAUUCGGGCCUAACUUUUUGCUCGGAUGAAUGUGGCAGGCUCAAGGACGCCGGCGUCUCGCCGUCAGCGAGUGCACAGCGCGGAGCAAUACAGCAUUGUCACCUAAGUCGCUAACUGGAAGCCCGCGAAAUUCUUUCCUCGUAGACGCAUGAGACGCUCCGUGAAGUUUUAAGUGUUUGGAAGUCCAUUUAGUGUUUGGUCUUUGGCCGACUGUACCCCCGCAAAGCAAAGGUGAGUUCAAAACCUGUUUCGUUGUUCCACCACUAUAUCAAGUCAAAUACGAGCACCACUUGUAAGCAUGGUUGCAAAAAUUGUUUCGUUGCAUAGCGUCUCAGCAACGGUGUGCAACAGCAGGAAAGCAGUGUCUGUGUGUGUCACUGUGUGUAGAUCAUGAGUAGAAACGUAAAGAGUUGCCUAACGUUCAGUCGUGCAGGGGGAGGCUACUGAAAUAAUUUGUGUUUUGCUGUGAUCUCGCACAAAAAAUUGAUAAAUGUUGUGACUCUAUUUCCCCCCCUUGGAGCUGGAGUAAACGGAAUUCCUCUGUUGUGGAAUGUUCAGCUGAAAGUGUCCCAAUCUCCAAAGUGGAUAUCAUUCCGAUAUGGCCUGUUAUACUUUCCAUUGAAAUCUGUUGCAUUUGCACUAUAGGAAGGCCUCCUGUUUGCAAAAUUCCGAUCCUCUACAGUUUGCAAUUCAUCAAAGAGGUCACAUUUCACAGUCUUUCCAAACAAAUGUACCUUUCACUAGUCUUAAAAUUUUCACCAGUAACGGUUUCAUGCUCGCACAGCUGAAGGCGGUUUAUAAAUGGAUCCCUUUUUUUGCACUUUCUUGGUAGGUGAUAUACGGGUGCACUUUGUUGCUGCAGACAUUUUCUUCUCGUCGAGCUCUUUUCGACCAUCUGCUGUCACAUGAAGAUUUUGCAAGUGGUGUUCCUUGUACCAUAGAGGGACGUAAUGCUGCUUCCAAGAACUAUAGAACCAAUUCCUCCAUGAGUCAUCCUGACUAAAUGCCAACACAUUCAACACAAAAAGUAUUGUCUUGAUAGUUUUGUUCUGUGGCUUCUUGCAGUCAGCCGUGUGGACAGUGAAGAAGCAGAUAUUGCACGCUGAAAACAUCACCUCAUCACAGAUGCAUCGUGCACUGACACUAUCUUGUGGUCUCCAGAGACGAGUACAACCUGCGCUAUGGGAAACCGGUACACAUCUUUGUGGAAACUGGCCCUGAGACGUUUCUGAAGAUCAGGAGUAUAGAUCACAAAACAAAAAAACUUUGUGUCAGUAACAUGUCUUGAGGAGCUAAUCAGAGUUGCUGUGGGUCCUGGAAUUUGUCAGGAGGGCAACGUACAAGUGUAUUUAAUGGAUGAGUUAUCAGUUCGCUCUAUGGUUGCUGGUGCUGAGAAAUGCCUCGAUGACAUUUUCAUUGUUAAAAAUGUACUAUGGAAACAAGAUCAGUCAACAUGUGUGAGUGCACCUUCACCAAUCCCACAAAUGCCUCUGCUCUCACAAAUUUAUUACCCUUGGGAGAGCCUCAGCAAGACAGUACUUGAUGCAUUGGAAGCAGACAAUCUGCUUCCCUCUUAACGACAGGAAGUGGCACACAUGGCAGCGUCAUGGCCCUGCAUAUCCAUUGAAGGUGGAAGGCACUCCUGAUAUUUAUUCACAGGCACCUGGUUGGUAUCAUUGAGAACGAAGGGAGCCAGCAGGCAUAAAAAAAUCAAGAGGGCUACAUACAUAAAUGCGUGAGGCAAUGAGGGCCGCAGAUGAAUAUAGCAAGAAGUGGGAACAUCUCGUGUGAUACAUACCGGUCAAAUGUUCCGCCAUCAAAGUCACGCACAAGUUAUUUGUAGUAUUUUCAGUAAUUUCCAAAAUAAAG
Molecule: long non-coding RNA, 2489 nt
Organism: Ornithodoros turicata
Lineage: Eukaryota; Metazoa; Arthropoda; Arachnida; Ixodida; Argasidae
Exons: 7
Source: RefSeq, a predicted model, not a curated record